Molecule: ribosomal RNA, 810 nt
Filed under: uncultured Bacillota bacterium
Lineage: Bacteria; Bacillati; Bacillota
Description: bacterial SSU rRNA
Rfam family: Bacterial small subunit ribosomal RNA
Source: RNAcentral
CAAGUCGAACGCGACUGAGGGCUUCGGCUCUCAGUUGAGUGGCAAACGGGUGAGUAACACGUGGGUGACCUACCUUCGAAUGGGGGAUAACGUCCCGAAAGGGACGCUAAUACCGCAUAACAUCCUGCCUUUGAACAGGUGGAGAUCAAAGCCGGGGAUCGUAAGACCUGGCGUUUGAAGAGGGGCCCGCGUCCGAUUAGCUAGUUGGUGGGGUAACGGCUCACCAAGGCGACGAUCGGUAGCCGGCCUGAGAGGGCGGACGGCCACACUGGGACUGAGAAACGGCCCAGACUCCUACGGGAGGCAGCAGUGGGGAAUUGUUCGCAAUGGGCGCAAGCCUGACGACGCAACGCCGCGUGGAGGAUGAAGGUCUUCGGAUUGUAAACUCCUGUUGCCCGGGACGAAACGCUCCGACCUAACACGUCGGAGUCUGACGGUACCGGGUGAGGAAGCCCCGGCUAACUCUGUGCCAGCAGCCGCGGUAAUACAGAGGGGGCGAGCGUUGUUCGGAAUUACUGGGCGUAAAGGGCGCGUAGGUGGCCUGUUAAGUCGAACGUGAAAUCCCCGGGCUCAACCCGGGAACUGCGUCCGAGACUGGCAGGCUCGAAUCCGGGAGAGGGAUGUGGAAUUCCAGGUGUAGCGGUGAAAUGCGUAGAUAUCUGGAGGAACACCGGUGGCGAAGGCGGCAUCCUGGACCGGUAUUGACGCUGAGGCGCGAAAGCCAGGGGAGCAAACGGGAUUAGAUACCCCGGUAGUCCUGGCCCUAAACGAUGAAUGCUUGGUGUGGCGGGUAUCGAUCCCUGCCGUGCC